GACGAACGCUGGCGGCGUGCUUAACACAUGCAAGUCGAACGGAAAGGCCCUGCUUUUGUGGGGUGCUCGAGUGGCGAACGGGUGAGUAACACGUGAGUAACCUGCCCUUGACUUUGGGAUAACUUCAGGAAACUGGGGCUAAUACCGGAUAGGAGCUCCUGCUGCAUGGUGGGGGUUGGAAAGUUUCGGCGGGUGGGGAUGGACUCGCGGCUUAUCAGCUUGUUGGUGGGGUAGUGGCUUACCAAGGCUUUGACGGGUAGCCGGCCUGAGAGGGUGACCGGGCACAUUGGGACUGAGAUACGGCCCAGACUCCUACGGGAGGCAGCAGUGGGGAAUAUUGCACAAUGGGCGGAAGCCUGAUGAAGCAACGCCGCGUGCGGGAUGACGGCCUUCGGGUUGUAAACCGCUUUCGCCUGUGACGAAGCGUGAGUGACGGUAAUGGGUAAAGAAGCACCGGCUAACUACGUG
Molecule: ribosomal RNA, 468 nt
Filed under: uncultured bacterium
Lineage: Bacteria
Description: partial 16S ribosomal RNA
Rfam family: Bacterial small subunit ribosomal RNA
Source: RNAcentral